Molecule: ribosomal RNA, 549 nt
Filed under: Triticum aestivum (bread wheat)
Lineage: Eukaryota; Viridiplantae; Streptophyta; Magnoliopsida; Poales; Poaceae
Description: partial small subunit ribosomal RNA
Source: RNAcentral
AUGGCAGAAGACGGCUGGAGCAGCUACUCACGGCUAGCUGUCGUAGGUGCGGCACUCGUCGGUCUCGGGGUUGUCCUCGCAGAACUCCUCCAGCGGGUCGCUGUGCUCCUUCUUGCGGUCGCGCGCGUGGCUGGCCGCCGCGCUGAGCUCCUCCACCUCGUCCCACGCCGCCACGCACUCGCCGCCCUCCGGGUCCCCCGCGCACGUCUCCUCCGCCUGCUUGAUGCUCUCUGUCACCUUCUGCGCCAGCUCCGGGGGCGUGGACGGCGAGCCCGCCACGGCCACCAGCCGCCGGCCGUGCGCGCGCAUCGCCCGGGCCGCGAACGACACGACGUCCGGGCGAGAUGGCAGCGUGGCCGAGGGCUGCGCAACGGUUCUGGGAGCCGGAAAGGUGGCCAUGAAGGCCAUGGUGGUGAUGGUGGCCAUGGCUUCGCACUUGGUUCGCAGGAGGGUGGAAGAGAAGGUUUUGGUUGUGGUCUGGCCGUUUGGGGUACGCCAUUUUUAUGUGGCUCUCCGCUGCUUAUCUUUUGGGGACCAAUCCCGUUGUGA